GCCCAGUAGCGGCGAGCGAAGCGGCAGAAGCUCAGAUUUGAAAUCUGGUCGCCCCCGGGCGGCCCGAGUUGUAAUCUGUAGGGGGGUAUUCUGGACGUCGCGCACCGCCUAAGUCCCCUGGAACGGGGCGCCUUGGAGGGUGAGAGCCCCGUGAGGCGGCGCGCUUCGGACAGUGUGAAGCCCCUCCGACGAGUCGAGUAGUUUGGGAAUGCUGCUCUAAACGGGAGGUAUAUUCCUUCUAAAGCUAAAUACCGGCCGGAGACCGAUAGCGCACAAGUAGAGUGAUCGAAAGGUGAAAGCACUUUGGAAGAGAGUGAAACAGUACGUGAAAUUGUUGCAGGGGAAGCGCUCUUGACCAGUCGCGCGCCAGGGAUCAGCCGCCGCCCGCCGGUGGUGCACUCCCCUAGGCUGCGGGUCAGCACCGGCUCUCGCUGCGGGAAAGAGACCUAGGGAACGUGGCCCCGUCUUCGGGCGGGGUGUUAUAGCCCUCUGUGAAGUACCGCCCGCGGGGGCCGAGGGUAUUCUGCGCCUUCGGGCUAGGAUGCUGGCAUAAUGGUCAUCAGCGUCCCGUCUUGAAACACGGACCAAGGAGUCAAGCAUUGGUGCGAGUGUUAGGGUGUCAAGCCCGAGCGCGCAAUGAAAGUGAACUUUCCAGGUGGGAACCCCUCUGGGGUGCACCACCAACCGGGCCCGAAGCUUCUGCGGAGGGACCUGAGUACGAGCACUAACGCUUGGACCCGAAAGAUUGCGAACUAUGCCUGUGUAGGGUGAAGCCAGAGGAAACUCUGGUGGAGGCUCGCAGCGGUUCUGACGUGCAAAUCGAUCGUCAAACAUGGCA
This 838-nucleotide ribosomal RNA is filed under the name Acrodontium simplex. RNAcentral's name for it is "LSU rRNA". It matches the Rfam family "Eukaryotic large subunit ribosomal RNA", at positions 77 to 917 of the family's 3401-position model. The record is from RNAcentral. Lineage: Eukaryota; Fungi; Ascomycota; Dothideomycetes; Mycosphaerellales; Teratosphaeriaceae.